This 1161-nucleotide ribosomal RNA is filed under the name Triticum aestivum (bread wheat). RNAcentral's name for it is "partial small subunit ribosomal RNA". The record is from RNAcentral. Lineage: Eukaryota; Viridiplantae; Streptophyta; Magnoliopsida; Poales; Poaceae.
AUGGCUUCUCCUGAGGACGCCAUCUCAUCCACGAGCGGCGGUGCCUCGGCGGCCGCUAAACCUAACCUGGAAGAUUUUUUUGACCAGCUAGAUCUCAAUGAAGAAGAGUUCAAUGAUGUUGAAAUCGACGAGGACGAUCCAGUGAUCAAGGAAAGUGUUCGGUGGCUUGCCCUCGCAAGGGUGCAUACCGAGAAGAGCUUCUCUCCCUCCGCCUUCUACAAGGACAUGAGGGCGGCUUGGAACCCUGCGCAACUGGUGAGAUUCCGGCCCGUUGGCCCCAAUAGAUUUGUGGUUCAAGCAUCCUGCUUGGGAGAUUGGGAACGCAUCACGACGCAAGGGCCAUGGAUCUUUCGUAACAUGGCGGUGUUGUUAUGCCCGUACGAUGGAUUCAGCAGGGCUGAGGAUGUCGUGUUUGAUUAUAUGCCAAUCUGGCUACAGAUACACAAAUUGCCUGACCCUUUUUGCAAAGAAAACAUUGUAGAGAAAUUUCUCAAGGGGGCAGGGGAAAUUCUGAAGAUGCGUUUGAACGGGAAUACCCGUGGAGAUUACGUAAGGGUGAGGGUUAAUCAUGAUAUCCAAAAGCCCCUUACGAAGUUUGUGAGCAUAGUCUGAGCCAAGGAGAGGCAGGUUUACUUGGUGCGCUACGAGAAAUUGGCUCGUUUUUGCAAGGCUUGCGGUCUGAUCGGCCAUGAUCAUAAAGAGUGCGGUCUGGGAAUUCAUGAUGUAAAGAAGCUCAAGUACGGGGAUUGGAUGUAUGCCGAUGGUCCGAACAGGUCCAGGACGGAUCUGAACAAUGGCAAUGCGUCUAAUCCACGGCAACAGGGGAGGCCGAGUAGCCCGGUAGGCACCCCAAAACCUUCAACGAAAGAACAAGACCCAGAUACUAGGGACACAUCUACAAGUCCUUUAAAGGAUCACAUGGCUAGGAUGGAGGUGGACCGGGAUGCUAGGAAGAAGCUGAACAUGGAGGAUGACACAGUUGAGGCAAACAGGUCUGCCGGUUCUCUGAAACAGGUCCUUGCUAUCACUGAUGGUAGUGGGACGGAUUUGGGCACACCUGCUUCGCCGACGAGUAGCACGUCAAGCAGCAAACGUGCAAGACUCGCCAAGGAGAAUGACACCAAUGAGAUAUCGGCGGCCUCCCUCGAGGAGGAGCGCUGA